This 621-nucleotide ribosomal RNA is filed under the name uncultured bacterium. Its description in RNAcentral is "bacterial SSU rRNA". It matches the Rfam family "Bacterial small subunit ribosomal RNA", at positions 338 to 951 of the family's 1533-position model. The record is from RNAcentral.
CCUACGGGAGGCAGCAGUGGGGAAUUUUGGACAAUGGGCGAAAGCCUGAUCCAGCCAUGCCGCGUGAGUGAAGAAGGCCUUCGGGUUGUAAAGCUCUUUCAGACGGAAAGAAAUUGCUUCGGUGAAUAUCCGGAGUAGAUGACGGUACCGUAAGAAGAAGCACCGGCUAACUACGUGCCAGCAGCCGCGGUAAUACGUAGGGUGCGAGCGUUAAUCGGAAUUACUGGGCGUAAAGGGUGCGCAGGCGGUUAUAUAAGACAGAUGUGAAAUCCCCGGGCUCAACCUGGGAACUGCGUUUGUGACUGUAUAACUAGAGUACGGUAGAGAGGGGUGGAAUUCCUGGUGUAGCAGUGAAAUGCGUAGAUAUCAGGAGGAACAUCGAUGGCGAAGGCAGCCCCUUGGACCUGUACUGACGCUCAUGCACGAAAGCGUGGGGAGCAAACAGGAUUAGAUACCCUGGUAGUCCACGCCCUAAAACGAUGUCGACUAGUUGUUCGGGAAGGUGACUUCUUGAGUAACGUAGCUAACGCGUGAAGUCGACCGCCUGGGGGAGUACGGUCGCAAGAUUAAAAACUCAAAAUGAUAGACGCGNGAGAGNGCGAGACGACACGAGGGAGGAGG